CUACGGGUUGCAGCAGUGGGGAAUAUUGCACAAUGGGCGCAAGCCUGAUGCAGCAACGCCGCGUGGGGGACGAAGGCCCUCGGGUUGUAAACCUCUUUUAGUAGGGAAGAAGCGCAAGUGACGGUACCUACAGAAAAAGCACCGGCUAACUACGGUGCCAGCAGCCGCGGUAAUACGUAGGGUGCAAGCGUUGUCCGGAAUUAUUGGGCGUAAAGAGCUCGUAGGCGGUUUGUCGCGUCUGCUGUGAAAAUCCGAGGCUCAACCUCGGACCUGCAGUGGGUACGGGCAAACUAGAGUGCGGUAGGGGAGAUUGGAAUUCCUGGUGUAGCGGUGGAAUGCGCAGAUAUCAGGAGGAACACCAAUGGCGAAGGCAGAUCUCUGGGCCGUAACUGACGCUGAGGAGCGAAAGCGUGGGGAGUGAACAGGAUUAGAUACCCAGUAGUC
This 444-nucleotide ribosomal RNA is filed under the name uncultured bacterium. RNAcentral describes it as "partial 16S ribosomal RNA". It matches the Rfam family "Bacterial small subunit ribosomal RNA", at positions 339 to 795 of the family's 1533-position model. The record is from RNAcentral.